CGGACGGGUGAGUAACGCGUAAAGAAACUUGCCCUUUAGACUGGGAGUAACAGAGGGAAACUUCUGAUAAUACUGGAUAAGUUAGUAUAUCGCAUGAUAUGCAAAUGAAAGCUACGGCACUAAAGGAGAGCUUUGCGUCCUAUUAGCUAGUUGGUAAGGUAAGAGCUUACCAAGGCGAUGAUAGGUAGCCGGCCUGAGAGGGUGGACGGCCACAAGGGGACUGAGAUACGGCCCUUACUCCUACGGGAGGCAGCAGCC
This 258-nucleotide ribosomal RNA is filed under the name uncultured Leptotrichia sp. RNAcentral's name for it is "partial 16S ribosomal RNA". It matches the Rfam family "Bacterial small subunit ribosomal RNA", at positions 99 to 355 of the family's 1533-position model. The record is from RNAcentral. Lineage: Bacteria; Fusobacteriati; Fusobacteriota; Fusobacteriia; Fusobacteriales; Leptotrichiaceae.